Molecule: ribosomal RNA, 490 nt
Filed under: uncultured bacterium
Lineage: Bacteria
Description: partial 16S ribosomal RNA
Rfam family: Bacterial small subunit ribosomal RNA
Source: RNAcentral
AUUGAACGCUGGCGGCAUGCCUUACACAUGCAAGUCGAACGGCAGCAUGAUCUAGCUUGCUAGAUUGAUGGCGAGUGGCGAACGGGUGAGUAAUACAUCGGAACGUGCCCUGUAGUGGGGGAUAACUAGUCGAAAGAUUAGCUAAUACCGCAUACGACCUGAGGGUGAAAGUGGGGGACCGCAAGGCCUCAUGCUAUAUGAGCUGCCGAUGUCUGAUUAGCUAGUUGGUGAGGUAAAGGCUCACCAAGGCGACGAUCAGUAGCUGGUCUGAGAGGACGAUCAGCCACACUGGGACUGAGACACGGCCCAGACUCCUACGGGAGGCAGCAGUGGGGAAUUUUGGACAAUGGGCGAAAGCCUGAUCCAGCAAUGCCGCGUGUGUGAAGAAGGCCUUCGGGUUGUAAAGCACUUUUGUCCGGAAAGAAAUGGCUCUGGUUAAUACCUGGGGUCGAUGACGGUACCGGAAGAAUAAGGACCGGCUAACUACGUG